GUCGUUUAGUCGUGUCCGACUCUUCGUGACCCCAUGGACCAGAGCACGCCAGGCACUUCUGUCUUCCACUGCCUCCCGCAGUUUGGUCAAACUCAUGCUGGUAGCUUCAAGAACACUGUCCAACCAUCUCAUCCUCUGUCGUCCCCUUCUCCUUGUGCCCUCCAUCUUUCCCAACAUCAGGGUCUUUUCCAGGGAGUCUUCUCUUCUCAAGAGGUGGCCAAAGUAUUGGAGCCUCAGCUUCAGGAUCUGUCCUUCCAGUGAGCACUCAGGGCUGAUUUCCUUAAGAAUGGAUAGGUUUGAUCUUCUUGCAGUCCAUGGGACUCUCAAGAGUCU
RNAcentral lists this long non-coding RNA (333 nucleotides) under Podarcis lilfordi (Lilford's wall lizard). The record is from RNAcentral. Lineage: Eukaryota; Metazoa; Chordata; Lepidosauria; Squamata; Lacertidae.